UAUGAAAAAUAGUUUUAAAUAGUUCUCUACCCCUCGUGGUACCAUUUUAAAAGAUAAAAGUUUUCGUGUGGGAAACAGUUUUAAGAAGGAGUUUUCUGUGAAAUUCUGUGACUUAGUAUUUCAAAACUUGUUUCUGGGUAGGGAACGUUUAAAUGAUAGGUCUGGUUUUAUGUUUAGAUAUUGUGGAUAAAUCUGGGUUGUAAAUGGUGAAUGCAUGAAUGUAUGUAUGCGUAAUUGUUGUAUGUUCAUUCAGUUGUGGUUGUAUCCUGGUUGCGUUUGUACUUGUGCGAUGCCGUGCAAA
Molecule: long non-coding RNA, 301 nt
Filed under: Ananas comosus (pineapple)
Lineage: Eukaryota; Viridiplantae; Streptophyta; Magnoliopsida; Poales; Bromeliaceae
Description: long non-coding RNA (ACOM_LNC016826)
Source: RNAcentral